CGGAGGGUGCAAGCGUUGUCCGGAUUUAUUGGGUUUAAAGGGUGCGUAGGUGGCCCGUUAAGUCCGGGGUGAAAGCCCACUGCUCAACAGUGGAACUGCCCUGGAUACUGGCGGGCUUGAGUCCAGACGAGGUUGGCGGAAUGGAUGGUGUAGCGGUGAAAUGCAUAGAUACCAUCCAGAACCCCGAUUGCGUAGGCAGCUGACUAGGCUGGUACUGACACUGAGGCACGAAAGCGUGGGGAGCGAACAGGAUU
This 254-nucleotide ribosomal RNA is filed under the name uncultured bacterium. RNAcentral describes it as "partial 16S ribosomal RNA". It matches the Rfam family "Bacterial small subunit ribosomal RNA", at positions 526 to 779 of the family's 1533-position model. The record is from RNAcentral.